ACCAGGUGUGGUGGCGCACACCUGUAAUCCCAGCGGCUCAGGAGACUGAGGCAGGAUGAUCUCGAGUUCAAAGCCAGACUCAGCAAAAGCGAGGCGCUAAGCAACUCAGUGAGACCCUGUCUCUA
This 125-nucleotide small RNA is filed under the name Marmota monax (woodchuck). Lineage: Eukaryota; Metazoa; Chordata; Mammalia; Rodentia; Sciuridae. The record is from RNAcentral.